This 440-nucleotide ribosomal RNA is filed under the name uncultured bacterium. RNAcentral's name for it is "partial 16S ribosomal RNA". It matches the Rfam family "Bacterial small subunit ribosomal RNA", at positions 338 to 795 of the family's 1533-position model. The record is from RNAcentral.
CCUACGGGUGGCAGCAGUGGGGAAUAUUGCACAAUGGGGGAAACCCUGAUGCAGCGACGCCGCGUGAAGGAUGAAGUAUUUCGGUAUGUAAACUUCUAGCAGCAGGGAAGAAAAUGACGGUACCUGACUAAGAAGCCCCGGCUAAAUACGAGCCAGCAGCCGCGGUAAUACGUAUGGGGCAAGCGUUAUCCGGAUUUACUGGGUGUAAAGGGAGCGCAGGCGGCCUGCCAAGUCUGGUGUGAAAACCCGGGGCCCAACCCCGGGCCUGCAUUGGACACUGGCGGGCUGGAGUGUCGGAGGGGCAGGCGGAAUUCCUAGUGUAGCGGUGAAAUGCGUAGAUAUUAGGAGGAACACCGGUGGCGAAGGCGGCCUGCUGGACGAUGACUGACGCUGAGGCUCGAAAGCGUGGGGAGCAAACGGGAUUAGAUACCCCAGUAGUC